CCUACGGGAGGCAGCAGUGAGGAAUCUUGGUCAAUGGGCGAGAGGCUGAACCAGCGAAGUCGCGUGAGGGAAGACGGCCCUACGGAUUGUAAACCUCUUUUGUCGGGGAGCAAAGUAAGCAACGUGUGCCGCAACGAGAGUACACGAAGAAAUAGCAUCGGCUAACCCCGUGCAAGCAGCCGCGGCAAUACGGAGGAUGCGGAGGUUAUCCGGAUUCAUGGGGUUAAAGGGGUGCGAAGGCGGAAGUACAAGUCAGCGGUAAAAUUGCGGGGCUCAACCUCGUACGGCCGUUGAAACUGCUUGACUUGAGUGAGCGAGAGGGAAGCGGAAUGCGUGGUGUAGCGGUGAAAUGCAUAGAUAUCGCGCAGAACUCCGAUUGCGAAGGCAGCAUACCGGCGCUCAACUGACGCUCAUGCACGAAAGCGUGGGUAUCGAACAGGAUUAGAUACCCUGGUAGUC
This 459-nucleotide ribosomal RNA is filed under the name uncultured bacterium. Its description in RNAcentral is "partial 16S ribosomal RNA". It matches the Rfam family "Bacterial small subunit ribosomal RNA", at positions 338 to 795 of the family's 1533-position model. The record is from RNAcentral.